Molecule: long non-coding RNA, 4197 nt
Filed under: Mus musculus (house mouse)
Lineage: Eukaryota; Metazoa; Chordata; Mammalia; Rodentia; Muridae
Description: cDNA sequence BC031361
Source: RNAcentral
GAGGAGACGCCGCUGGGAGACCACGCCCCAGCAACGAGGAAUGCCGAAGGUAGCCGAACAGAAGGGAAGAGGGUUCUCCUUGUCCUGUGGCUGGCUAGAGAGAAGAGUCGACAAUAGCGACAGUGGCCAAUCAGAGCUGUUGGCCCUCAGGGAAAAGCCUCAAGAGUUAAGGACGGCGAAACUCCCGAGUCGCGGGAGGAACUGCACGGCUGGGCGCCGCGCCCGUUUCCUCAUUGGCUGGACAACUCCGCUGGGCGUGUACCUUUCUCGGUGAUUGGUGAAGGGAAGGGGGCUUCCGAGGACAUCGGGCCAGUCAGAGCCUCCCCUCCCUCUUUGAGGCGGGGAGAAGAAGAAAGCGGAGGGAGGGCACCUAUAAAGUGCCAUCUCAUUGGUCUGCAGCGUCGAGCUGGAGCGCGGGGGGAGGGGAGCUUCGAAAGGGAGAAGGAGGGUGCAGGAGCCCGUGGCGGCGGCCAAUAGGCGCUCACUGCUGUGCAAUCGCAAGACCUAGCUGCAGUGGGAUUGGCCUCGGGUGGUCCCUAAGCGGGCGGACGGGAUGAGUGGUCGGCCUGCAUCUGCUUUCCGAGCCGACGCUCGUGCUGGCUGUGCAGCCCGGUCCGACAAUGCUGCGGUCGGAGGGUCGGGCCCCGAGCGCUCUAGUGGGGCGUGAGGCCGUCCCCAUUCCCGGGAGCUCCGCGGGGCGCGGCUUACCAAGUGCGCCCGAGGCUCCCCACCGCGCGUGCUGAGCCUAUGAGAACGUCUAUUCUCUGAAAGACGUAGGGCGCCGUGGCCGGGGCCGAACCCUCUAGCGCUUAAAUGGGAACAAAGCUUCCAGAGAAGGAGAGCCUCUGGGCAGCCGCGCCCGCCCAUCGCGGGGGGCCGCUGAUCUCGUGGGGGGGGGGGGGGGAGCCCUUUGCAGCAGGCGCACAAGGCCAGACCAGGCCUUCUGGAAACGCCCCCGAGAGAUGAGCUCAUGCUAGAUGAGCGCGGUCCAUGGGCGCGACUGUCCAGCGCAAAAGCAGCCCCGAAAACAGGUGAGGGGAAAUGUGGUCAGGACAGUACCUCGAAUCCUAGGAGGAAGCUCAAGUCAGAAUUGCUCGCAGCAGUUUUUAGUGUUAUUGGAUGAUCAGCACACUGCUGCCUAAGUAGGUUUCACAUGUAGUCCAGCGUCCAUUGUUCUACAAAGGAGACCAUUGCCUUGGUCCAUCCGAGAGCUGUGUGGCGUGGCUACUACGACUAGAGUAAGUUAGAGUGGACACUGGCAAUCCUGACUGUAAUCCCGUGAUACUUGUAAUACCCACCCGCAUAGUCAUCUCUUUCUGUUGAGAUGCUAUCUCCAGAAAGCACAUGUAAAAGUACACGUACUUGAUCAGAUUGCUUAGCUAUUGCUUUAAAAUCUGAUGAGGGACUUGGGACAGAACAAAGUAAGCUUUGAAGGGAGCCAGUAAAGGUCUGGAUAGUGUUUGCAGACUCAGAUGUCUGUAGAGGCCUGGCAAAUAAAGCGAAUGACACCGGCCUGGUGGAAGACAAUAGGAAUGUUAGAUGAUGUGGAAACGGGAGUUCCAUCCAUGCCCUUAAGGGGGUCCACCAUUAAAAUAAUCGUAUUCUCCUUUUUUUUUUUUUUUAAUUACCAAAACCAUAACGUUGAAGUUUUAUGUGUGAUCUCUAAAUCUGACGUGUUGGCAACCGAUAUGCCGAAACCACGUAGACCAACAAAGUAAAAAAUCCCAGGAAAAUGUGCCCGACAGGCAGCCAAUUUGUAAUCUCAUUCCUUAUCGGAGACUUUAUGCCUCAAGUGCAGAAGAGACUCUUGUUCUUCACAAUUAAAAUCGUCUAUAAGGUAGCCCGAUGCCAUGGGGGAGGGUAAAGAAUCUUAAAAGCAGCCGCCUUGCUUGGCAACUUUGUCAUUUGAAUGGUGCCUCUCCAUGCUAUUAUGAAAGACCUUUGCCACUGUUCCUAAACUGCUGUGGUGCAGAACUUUAAAUCCUCCCUACCUAAUUAUACCAGCAGGAAGGUAAAUAACAAGGGUUUAGUUUGCAGAAACUGGCAACGUGGCUAUUCUUGUAUAUAAAACUAGUUCAAAAAUAGCCUACCUUAGGGUUUUGAUUAGUAACUUUUUUGUUGCCUUCAGAUAUUUUUAACUCAAUUGAAAAAAAUCUUUUCAUAGGAAAAAAAUACAUAUUUCAGUCCACAAAUAGGACUUGGAGAAGGAAAAGUUUAUUUAAUAAAACACAGAACAGCCAGCCAGGUGUGGUGGGGCACACACUCUUUUAAUCCCAGUACUGCAGAGGCAGAUGAAUCACUGAGUUCAAGACCAGCCUGAUCUACAUGAGUUUCAGGUGGGGGUCGGCCAUAUGGACCCCACAGACAUACUGAAACUUAACAGUCAGUACUGGUUUUCUGACUUUGAAAACCUCUCAUUUUGCCUUCCUACAUGGUGAGGACUACUGGGAAAAGUAUUAGUGCGCCUUGAAAGUUAACUCAUUUUUGCAAGACCCACAAAGUUAAGGCAGCAGAACCGGGGUUCACAUCCCUUGUUCUUUGCCUCUACUCCACAAUUCUCUCUUGGUACAGUCCCCACAUCCCCCAGAUUCUGCUAAAGUGCUAGCUGUAGAAGCCUGACUACCUAAAUUCAGUCUGCAGAAUGCACCUAAAGGCCAAGGAGAGGGCCAAAUCCAUUAACUUGUCUUCUGGCCUCCACGUCUGUACAUCAUGGCACAUACCAGUCACACAAUAAUAGUAAAAGGCAGAUAGCUUACUCACCCAAGAGUUCCCCCGUUUGGCUAGACUGAUUGGCCAGUGAGCUCUAAGAAUCUACCUGUCUCUGUCCCCCAAUUUUGGAGUGGUAAGCACCCCAGCUUUUAUGUGGGUUCUAGAAAUCUAGACCCUGGUCCUCACACUUUAACCACUGAGACAUAUCCCCAAUCCUAGAAUACCUACUUUUAUUUAUAUUGUUUUAAUUGAAUGGCUAUAGGGUGUUUCUUCUGUAUGUAUAUCUAUGUUUGGUACCUACAGAGGCAUCAGAUCCUCUGGAACUGUAGUUGCUGACAGUUGUAAGCUGUCAUGGGGAUGCUGGAAUUGAACCUGGAUCCUAUGAAAGAACAGCCAGUGUUCUUAACCACUGAGCUAUCUCUCCAGGCCCGAGAAUAUACAAUUGGCUGUUUGAGAGCUGGCAGAGUGGCCUGUCAGGCAAAAGUACCUGCUGCCUAACCUGACGACAUGACUUGCAUGCUCAGAACCGACAUGGUAAAAGGACAGACUCAGCCCAUGCAAGUUCAAGAACAAGCCCACACGUGGACACACAACAACAACAGCAACAAUUGUAAAUGUAAUUUUUAAAACCUGCCAUUUGAGUUGCUGACUUGAUUUUCAUUUAAAAAAAAGUAGUUAAUAAAUUUUGGCUUGGGGUUAGGGUAGGCUUCCUAACGAUUUCUGAAAUGACCUUCAUUGUAUUUUUGCAAUUUUGUACAUCUAUGCAUAGUGACUAUGGUGGUUUGAGCUCAUAUAUUUGAACUCCAGUUGUCAGGGAGUGGCUCUACUUAGAAGGAUUAAGAGGUGUGGCCUUGUUGGAGAAAGUGAGUUACUGGGGGUGGUCUCUAAGGGUUCAGCAGCCCAAGCUAGGCCCAGUGAGUCUCUCCCUACCACCCAUGGAUAAGGAUGUAGAACUCUCAGCUACCUCUCCAGCUCCAUGUCUGCCCUGCUCCCCACCACGAUGAGAAUGCACCAAACCUCUGAAACUGUACACCAGCCCCGAUUAAAUGCUUUCCUUUAUAAGAGUUGUCAUGGUCAUGGUGUCUCUUCACAACAAUAGAACAGUGACUAAGACAGUGACAUUCUCCACAUUGAUGAUUAUAAAAUCAGUAUGUCAUUCAGCUGGAAAAUGUUGAAGAUGUUCUGCAUCAUGCAGCAUUAAAUACUCCACCAAGAUUUAAUUCUUGAUACUUGUUUAUUUCAUUAAUAAUUAAUAUAUAAUGAGGAAUGCACUACUGAAAGUCAAAGGACAAUUUGCAGGUAUUUGUCUGUCCUUCUCCACUCUUGGCAGUAAGCACCUUUACCCUGAGCCUUUACCUCACCAGUCUCAAGACUUAAUUCUUUAUGUAAAAAUAAACAGACCCGGCUGUGUCAUUCAUAUGCAGAUUUUCUUUUUUAAUAAAGGAUAAAACUAUAUGUAAACUGCAAAUAAAUGUCUUUAUCAUCAGU